RNAcentral lists this ribosomal RNA (406 nucleotides) under uncultured bacterium. RNAcentral's name for it is "partial 16S ribosomal RNA". It matches the Rfam family "Bacterial small subunit ribosomal RNA", at positions 30 to 526 of the family's 1533-position model. The record is from RNAcentral.
AUUGAACGCUGGCGGCAGGCUUAACACAUGCAAGUCGAACGAGUGGCGGACGGGUGAGUAAUGUCUGGGAAACUGCCUGAUGGAGGGGGAUAACUCCUGGAAACGGUAGCUAAUACCGCAUACCAUCAGAUGUGCCCAGAUGGGAUUCUCUAGUUGGUGGGGUAAAGGCUCACCAAGGCGACGAUCCCUAGCUGGUCUGAGAGGAUGACCAGCCACACUGUGACUGAGACACGGUCCAGACUCCUACGGGAGGCAGCAGUGGGGAAUAUUGCUCAAUGGGCGCAAGCCUGAUGCAGCCAGGCCGCGUGUAUGAAGAAGGCCUUCGGGUUGUAAAGUACUUUCAGCGGGGAGGCGUUACCCGCAGAAGAAGCACCGGCUAACUCCGUGCCAGCAGCCGCGGUAAUUC